CAGAGGUGCCGAGCGUUAGGCGGAAUCACUGGGCUUAAAGCGCGUGUAGGCGGGUCGUUAAGUGUCCGCGUGAAAUCCCACGGCUCAACCGUGGAACUGCCGGGCAUACUGGCGACCUUGAGGCACUUAGGGGCGAGCGGAACAAAUGGUGGAGCGGUGAAAUGCGUAGAUAUCAUUUGGAACGCCGACGGUGAAAACAGCUCGCUGGGAGUGUCCUGACGCUGAGACGCGAAAGCCAGGGGAGCGAACGGGAUUAGAUACCCCGGUAGUCCUGGCCCUAAACGAUGUCCACUAGGUCGCGGCGGUUUUGACGCCGUCGCGGCCGGAGCAAAAGUGUUAAGUGGACCGCCUGGGAAGUACGGUCGCAAGGCUA
This 373-nucleotide ribosomal RNA is filed under the name uncultured organism. RNAcentral describes it as "bacterial SSU rRNA". It matches the Rfam family "Bacterial small subunit ribosomal RNA", at positions 526 to 896 of the family's 1533-position model. The record is from RNAcentral.